CAACUCAAUUACUACCUAACAGAACUAUUCGAGGUACUCUUUUUAUCUCUCCACAACAACCAGCCAAUAUGUCUCCCUGCUCGUGCAACUGCUGCUCCGGCAACUGCAACUCUUGCUCUUGCAACUCUUGCUCCGUAAGUUGUCUCUUUUA
This 151-nucleotide small RNA is filed under the name Talaromyces islandicus. RNAcentral describes it as "Penicillium islandicum A. fumigatus sRNA Afu_254". It matches the Rfam family "A. fumigatus sRNA Afu_254". Lineage: Eukaryota; Fungi; Ascomycota; Eurotiomycetes; Eurotiales; Trichocomaceae. The record is from Rfam by way of RNAcentral.